UUUACUUUGUAAUAAAAAAAAAUUGUAUUAAAAAAACCCUAGAAAAUCUCUCUACGCGUUUCUAGAACCAGAAUCCCCAAAAGUUCUCAUACAGGGUUCAACUAAAUGAAUCGUUUUGGGGACCGGAACCCCCAUGCUAGCGUGAUUGCUCUUUCUGUUUGGGAUUGACUGCUACUGUGGUUAGACACUUGGAAUAUAUUUUGUGGGUUUUGAUCUGGGUUUGGAAUUGCUUUGGAUUUGACGAUUCUUGAAGCUUUGACAAAUCUUGGGUGAUAAGUUUGGCUGUGUGUGGUGUGAGGUCAAAAGGGUUUUCUGUUCACUUAAUUGUAGAGCUUGGAAUUCGGGUUCUUUCCAUUUGAAUUGUUCCUUGAUUUUGUUAGUGUCAUUUUAGUUGUAAAGAGCUCAAGGAAAAUUGGGCAAUCUGAUUGGGUAUUUACUGAGAGUAAAAGGUUUUUUCCGUUGUGGAUUCAAGAGUUGUAAAGGGUUUAUAGGAAUUUAGUGUUUUUAAAAUUCAUUGGAGUUUAGCAACUUUAUAAUGAAACAAUGAUGGAAGGGUUUGCUUUUCAUUGAGAUUGAAACUUGAAGUGGAUAUUGAAGUUCGGUUAUAAAAAUAAUUUGAGUUUUGUCUUUUGGUGCUGAAACUAUUCAAGCAAAUUGAGAGUUUGCUGCAGGUGUUGAAUUUGGGGAAUUUGAUUAGAUUUUAAGGUUUGCAAUGGAUGAUGUUCAAGGCAGUUCAAAUUCACUUCCUCCUUUCCUUGCAAAAACAUAUGAUAUGGUAGACGAUCCAUCAACAAAUUCAGUUGUGUCCUGGAGUCCAUCUAACAAAAGCUUUGUUGUGUGGAAUCCACCAGAGUUUGCCAGGGAUCUGCUACCAAGAUUCUUUAAGCACAAUAACUUCUCAAGUUUUAUCAGACAGCUCAAUACAUAUGGUUUCAGAAAAGUUGAUCCUGAGCAAUGGGAAUUUGCAAAUGAGGAUUUUGUAAGAGGUCAGCCACAUCUUAUGAAGAAUAUCCACAGACGAAAGCCAGUUCAUAGUCAUUCUCUUCAGAAUGUACAAAACCAAGGAACUCAGUUAACUGAAUUGGAAAGACAGAGUUUAAAGGAAGAAAUUGAGAGAUUAAAAAAUGAUAAAGAAUUGCUUAUUUUGGACCUACAGAGGCACGAGCAGGAGCGGCAAGGAUUUGAAUUGCAAAUGCAGCUUUUGAAGGAGCGUUUUCAGCGUAUGGAACGGAGACAGCAGAAGAUGUUGUCUUCUGUGGCUAGAGCCUUGCAGAAACCAGGGGUUGCCUCAAAUCUUGGGUCACAGUUGGAAACUCAUGAUAGAAAGAGAAGACUUCCACGAAUAGGUUACUUUUACGAUGAGGGCAACAUUGGAGACAAUUUGCUGGGGACUUCCCAGACUGUAGCUAGAGAAAAUGCUGAGAGUACUAGUGCUUUGUCAUCAAACACAGAACAUUUUGAGCAUUUGGAAUCUUCCUUGACCUUUUGGGAGAAUAUUGUGCAUGAUGGUGGUGAAACUGCUCUUCCACUUAAUUCAAGCCUGGAGUUGGAUGAAUCUACAAGUGCAGAUAGUCCAGCCAUAUCUUGCAUACAGCUUAAUGUUGAUGUUCGGCCAAAAUCUCCUGGAAUUGACAUGAACUCUAAGCCUGUUGUAGCAGCUGCUUCUGAUCCUGCUGUGUCAAAGGAACCAGCAGCUGUGACAGCUGCUGCUGUCACAACUGGCGUCAAUGAUGUAUUUUGGGAACAGUUUUUGACAGAAAAUCCUGGUUCUACUGAAAUCCAGGAAGUUCAGUCAGAAAGAAGGGAUUCAGAUGGCAGGAAGAAUGAUAACAAACCUGUUGAUCAUGGCAGAUUUUGGUGGAAUAUGAGAAAUGUAAAUAGUCUUGCAGAACGGAUGGAGCAUCUAACUCCUGCGGAGAGAACUUGAUAUUGUUUGAUUGUUUUUUUUUCUUUUUCUGUUUUCCAGCUUUUGAUGCCUCAGUAUCAUCUUGCAUAAUAAAUUUAGAUUGAGCCGCUGAUAAGAUUGCUUCUGGGGUCGCCCAUGUUUUUGUCACUGUAGCACUAAAAUAUGAGUCACCAAUGGAACGUCAACCUCUAAACAAAGAUCAUUCUUAUAAUCUGAUGAUUUGCUUAUGCCAAGAGAUUCUCUAAUUUUACUUUUACACGUAACAAAACUGAAACUAUUCUAGUUGAUGAAAAGACAAGUGGCCCCGAAGUUGACUGUUUUGGGAGCUUUUUCAUUGCCAUAAUCUCGCCUCCAUCUCUGUCACCGUUUACCUACUAUUUAUGAAGAAGAUAUUGAUGAUGACAUCGGGGUUGGGUGGCUCGCAGGAAGCCUAGCACUUACUCAGAAAGUGCUGGGUAGUUAGGUUACAGAUAACACAACUACCUUCAAGCUUUCCGCCGCAAGCACAUGGGUUUUUUAUGCUAAAUUAUGUGGGCAACAGAUAUAGCCAAUGAGCUAUCCGUUAUCAAAUGCCACUUUUGGAAUGGAAUCUUGUGUAGCAUAUUAUAUCAGCAGCCGCGCUACGUGGCUACCACUGCACCAGUACAGAACCUGGCUAGCUCAAUCAGUGGAGGAUGUUCUCUUCAUAGUAGAUAUAGUCGCUUAGGAUUUGUGAAUAAUAUUUUACUUACGGAAGUAAAUAUUUCAAUUCAAUCCUGAUCAACUUAGUUAAAAGUUAACGUGUGCAAAAUUUAUCACAGGCCCGCUUCCAACAUUGGUAAAUACCAUAACUAUUGGUGUUGUGCCACAAAAUACAUACUGAUGUCAGCACCACUAAUCAGAGCUCGACAAGCACUUAAAGGCAAAGGGUAUUAGUUGUCAAAACUCAAAUCGUCUCGAAGAGAUAUUAUAUAACACUUGUCACACCUUUAUCAA
RNA transcript from Pistacia vera, 2881 nucleotides. It is a transcript of the gene named heat stress transcription factor A-4c-like, with no coding region annotated. The transcript has 5 exons. NCBI's taxonomy places the organism in Eukaryota, Viridiplantae, Streptophyta, Magnoliopsida, Sapindales, Anacardiaceae. The record is from RefSeq and is a predicted model, not a curated record.